GGGCCGGUAGUUCAGUUUCGGUCAGAACGCUACGCUCACACCGUAGAGGUCGAGGGUUCAAAUCCCUUCCGGCCCA
Molecule: transfer RNA, 76 nt
Filed under: miscellaneous Crenarchaeota group archaeon SMTZ-80
Lineage: Archaea; Thermoproteati; Candidatus Bathyarchaeota
Also listed under: 3 other names
Description: tRNA-Val
Rfam family: tRNA
About the family: Transfer RNA (tRNA) molecules are approximately 80 nucleotides in length. Their secondary structure includes four short double-helical elements and three loops (D, anti-codon, and T loops).
Source: RNAcentral